GACAGAGGUGCCGAGCGUUAGGCGGAAUCACUGGGCUUAAAGCGUGUGUAGGCGGGUCGUUAAGUACCUUGUGAAAUCCCCCCGGCUCAACCGGGGGAAUGGCUGGGUAUACUGGCGAUCUUGAGCGAUCCAGGGGCAGAUGGAACAAGUGGUGGAGCGGUGAAAUGCGUAGAUAUCACUUGGAACGCCAAAGGUGAAGACAGUCUGCUGGGGAUCUGCUGACGCUGAGACACGAAAGCCAGGGGAGCGAACGGG
This 255-nucleotide ribosomal RNA is filed under the name uncultured bacterium. RNAcentral describes it as "partial 16S ribosomal RNA". It matches the Rfam family "Bacterial small subunit ribosomal RNA", at positions 524 to 776 of the family's 1533-position model. The record is from RNAcentral.